Molecule: ribosomal RNA, 519 nt
Filed under: Triticum aestivum (bread wheat)
Lineage: Eukaryota; Viridiplantae; Streptophyta; Magnoliopsida; Poales; Poaceae
Description: partial small subunit ribosomal RNA
Source: RNAcentral
AUGGUUGACUCAACCCAAUCCAAGUCGGCCGGGCUGCAGUUUCAGUACAAUGAAGAUGACAUAUCCAACAUGGUAUCCUUUGCGGAUGAAGAACAUGAGUCAAGAGGCAUGUAUAAUGCCAGCUAUUUGCUAUCCAGAAUGCCAGCUAUUGAUUUGAUGACUCAUUGGGAUUUGAGCAAUAUGUGGACUAUGCAUGGGACGUCCCGAUGUAUUUUGUAUACCGGAACAAGAAUUACAUUGACUGUACUGGAAUGUCAUUUUGGAUCUCUUCCUGUCUCUAAUAUCUUAGCUUUCAUGGCAGGAAAGCUCCCACAGGUUCCAAGGGAGAUGCCCACUUUGAUUGAUUGGGAGAACCAUCUAACGACAAUUUUUCCUGAGGUUAGGUUGAAGAUAUACCUGGAGAUGGGAGGUGCUGAUGGUGGACCUUGGAUGAGAUUGUGUGCUUUGCCUGCAAUUUGGGUUGGGUUGUUGUAUGACGAUGAAUCACUACAGAGCAUUAUUGACAUGACUGCUGACUAG